This 580-nucleotide ribosomal RNA is filed under the name uncultured bacterium. RNAcentral's name for it is "bacterial SSU rRNA". It matches the Rfam family "Bacterial small subunit ribosomal RNA", at positions 338 to 916 of the family's 1533-position model. The record is from RNAcentral.
CCUACGGGAGGCAGCAGUGGGGAAUAUUGGACAAUGGGCGAAAGCCUGAUCCAGCAAUUCCGCGUGUGUGAAGAAGGCCUUCGGGUUGUAAAGCACUUUAGUUGGGGAAGAAACAGCUUGGCCACACCAAGCCUUGACGGUACCCAAAGAAUAAGCACCGGCUAACUCUGUGCCAGCAGCCGCGGUAAUACAGAGGGUGCAAGCGUUAAUCGGAUUUACUGGGCGUAAAGGGUGCGUAGGUGGUUUUGUAAGUCGGAUGUGAAAGCCUGGGGCUCAACCUCAGAAUUGCACUCGAUACUGCAAGACUAGAGUUCGGUAGAGGGCGGCGGAAUUCCCGGUGUAGCGGUGAAAUGCGUAGAUAUCGGGAGGAACAUCAAUGGCGAAGGCAGCCGCCUGGGCCUGAACUGACACUGAGGCACGAAAGCGUGGGUAGCAAACAGGAUUAGAUACCCUGGUAGUCCACGCUGUAAACGAUGAGAACUUGACGUUGGUUCGUUUUACGAAUCGGUGUCGCAGCUAACGCGAUAAGUUCUCCGCCUGGGGAGUACGGCCGCAGGUUGAAACUCAAAGGAAUUGACGG